AACGGACCAAGACAAAAAAAUAACAAAAAAAAAUACGCGGGUCAGGCAAUGGGUUAAAACAGGAGGCGGGUCUAAAAAAGGGGGGAACAAACUCUGAGAUGCUAAUGAAGAAAUUUUUAUCAACGCUACUGCCGAUUCCCUCUCUCUCUCCCCAAAUCUUGCCGAUUCUCUCUCCCCGAUUCUGAGUAGUUUGAGUGCCAAAACGCUGGAAGGCCGGAUCCAUCAACGCUACUGCCCCUUUACACUUUUGCCCCCUUUCUUCUCGUGCGCAGACCCUAAUCACAUCCAAUACGCAGGUAAUUAACAAUUUUUAGUUUUUAUACUGAUUUUCAUAUGAGAUGCUAAUGAAGAAAUUUUUAUCAAUGUUUUAUCGAUUCAAAUUGGGGAUGUGUUGUUGAUGAGAAUUUUUUUAAUCAAUUUGAUGAGUUUCACGUAUAUGCUAAUUAACUCAGUUCCUCUCACAUAGAUGACACGGUUGGUUGAAAUAUAAUUUUGUAUUUUUGUAUAGUUAAUUACAUAGUAAUAUCUUCUCUUCUGUAUUAUAUAUCUUUUCUGGGGUUUGUUGAAAUUGAGCAAGUUCACAAAAAAUGUUUUUUUUUCAAAAAUUUAAAAAAGGAAAGCAUUCUUAAAUAAUUUUGGCAUUGAUUGAAUAAAAAAUGAUUAAAAUUAUAUAAUCAUGAUUAAAACUAACAUUUUGUUUUUCAUUUCAGGAAUAUCACUAUAACUUUUACAUGGAAUAUCAUUGUCAUUAUCACCAUGUUGGUCUUGUUUUACAGUGGUUGAAUGUAGAUAAUUUGUUGGUAUUUGGAUGUAAUUCCAUGUAAAUGUUGUUGUUGCUGAAUGUUGCUGUUGCUGAAUGUUGUUGUUCAUUGCUGUUGCUGGGUGGGCUACUGCUGCAGUUGUUGCUAUUUGAUAAUUAUAUUAUAAUCAUGCUUAUACUGUCAUGCUUAUGUCUUUUUAAUUUGGUCUUGGGAGUUGACUGUUUGGACUUAUGUCUGUACAAAUAUAGCAGUUUGUUCUAUAGUCAGUUGGAAAGGCAAAGUGAAUGUUUUUCUCUUUUUACUGAAUUGGUUGUUAAUUCACACUUCAGCCCUUCACUGAGAAAAAAAUAUUGAUUUGUUCCUUUUACUAUUCUUUCCAGAAUCGUCCAUCUCUUAAUACUAGCUAUUAUUUGUUUGGUACAUUCUGUUUUCAGUCCUAUUUGCAAAUUGUAAGUAUAUCACUAAUUGUUGUUGCGGAAGAGAAUUAGUGUUUGUUGAGAUCUGUCAAGAGGGGGAGAGAAUCUAGUUUAGUCCUAGAUUGCAAAUUGUAAGUAUAGAGUCCUGCUGCUGUUUCAGUCCUAUUUGCAAAUUGUAAGUAUAAAGUCCUGCUGCUGUUUCAGUCCUAUUUGCAAAUUGUAAGUAUAGAGUUAAAAACACUGAAUGGAAGAAAUACCGGUAUACAUAUAAUAUUAUCUAAUAACAUUA
RNAcentral lists this long non-coding RNA (1466 nucleotides) under Panax ginseng (ginseng). RNAcentral's name for it is "long non-coding RNA (PGIN_LNC010534)". Lineage: Eukaryota; Viridiplantae; Streptophyta; Magnoliopsida; Apiales; Araliaceae. The record is from RNAcentral.